UUUAUUUAUUUGUAAAAAAAAAGUCUUUUAUUGUUUUUAUUUUUUGGGCUAAUGUUAUGCUCUAGUGUAGUGUUCUUUAGUGUAUGCGGGAUAAAUUUUUGGUACUAGGAGCACAAGAUCAUCAGGAGGCAGAUAAGGAAGGAGAAUUGGUUCACCAACACCCUAAUGUGAAAAGUGACAAACCCAACCUGGCGUAUCGGUGAAAUUCAAGAAUAGGUUAUGGGUUCUCAAGACUAUCAAAGCAAACAGAAUUCUGAAGAUGGAGGAUCCUUAGAGUUGGUGACAAGAAAACUCUCGAGAUGUCGUUGGUGUCAUGGAGGAAGGAAGAACGCCAACAGAAAAUAUCAAGACCCACUUAUGGGUGUUUGGGCAUUACCGGGUCAAGCUAAACGUUAAAAGAGCGCUUGCUGGGAGGCAACCUAGUUUUUGAAUUUUUUUUUACCUUUUAUUUCGUUUUGAUUUGAUUUGAUUUGAUUUGAUUUAAUUUUAUUUUAUUUUAUUUUAUCUUAUUUGAUUUUUUAUUUAUUUUUAUUUUAUUUUUGGGUUAUGCGCUGCUUCUGAUGGCAGUAAUGAUAACAUCUACUGAUAGAUGCUAUAUGGUUAGACAUUUACUGAUCGAUGUCACUAACGGCUUUUAUUGAUUAAUGCUACUGGGAUAGCAUCUACUAAGGGAUGCUAGAAGAUUAAGGUAUCUACUGAAGGAUACAAGAAGGUACACCUACUAAUGGGUGACGGUAAGUUUUACACCUACUGAUGGGUGCUAGAAAGGUGAUACGCGGGGCCCAAGCCCAAUAAAUAAAAUCUAUCCAAAACAAGAAGAAGGGCAAACAAGACAUUUCCACAUGGGGAGGGGUGAGCUUAACAUGCCAGGAGGUGCAUCAUGAAGCUUUUCCAAAUCAGAAAUCUGUAUGCAUCGUGUUUUUCAUUGUAAAUGUGUAGACUUCUAGAUUUUCUUUCCUGCACAUGUUGAAUAAGUCUUCUAGAAGGCUGGCACAUUUUGCACAUGGCAUCUUACGUGGCAUUAAAUCCACAAUUCACGGAUCUAAGCAUUUUCUUUGCCAAGGCCGACGGGUUCUCUUAUAAAACCCACAAGGCAGCUUCUGUAGGACACUUUUGGAUGAUAAUAGAGAAAACUUUGCUGAAAUGCAUUGUCAAUUUCUCCUUCCCGAAAGUCACUCCAUGCUUUGCUUUCUCCUCUGCAACUUCCUUCCUUGUGUGAAGGCUUUCUGAGUUGUAGCCAUUUCAUUCAAGGCUUCUUCCAUUUCACAUCACCUCUGCAAACACCUUCAUCCGCUGCAUCCCUUCCAAACACAUCCAUCCAAAACAAAGCCUCUGCAACAGUCAUGGCUCUGCACACUAGGUCCGGUACUGUUCCAUUGGUUUUCAACCUCUACAUUGUUUUUCCAAGCUUCUAAUCUCACAGAUCUGGAAGAAUACAUCAAGC
This 1444-nucleotide long non-coding RNA is filed under the name Vigna radiata. RNAcentral describes it as "long non-coding RNA (VRAD_LNC015824)". The record is from RNAcentral. Lineage: Eukaryota; Viridiplantae; Streptophyta; Magnoliopsida; Fabales; Fabaceae.